AACGAACGCUGGCGGCAGGCCUAACACAUGCAAGUCGAACGCUCCAGCAAUGGAGAGUGGCAGACGGGUGAGUAACGCGUGGGAACCUUCCCAGUGGUACGGAAUAGCUCAGGGAAACUUGAGGUAAUACCGUAUACGCCCCUUGGGGGAAAGAUUUAUCGCCAUUGGAUGGGCCCGCGUAGGAUUAGCUAGUUGGUGAGGUAAUGGCUCACCAAGGCGACGAUCCUUAGCUGGUCUGAGAGGAUGAUCAGCCACACUGGGACUGAGACACGGCCCAGACUCCUACGGGAGGCAGCAGUGGGGAAUAUUGGACAAUGGGCGCAAGCCUGAUCCAGCCAUGCCGCGUGAGUGACGAAGGCCUUAGGGUUGUAAAGCUCUUUCAGCUGGGAAGAUAAUGACGGUACCAGCAGAAGAAGCCCCGGCUAACUCCGUGCCAGCAGCCGCCGUAAGAC
Molecule: ribosomal RNA, 452 nt
Filed under: uncultured bacterium
Lineage: Bacteria
Description: bacterial SSU rRNA
Rfam family: Bacterial small subunit ribosomal RNA
Source: RNAcentral